AUCAAUGGCCGCGGUACUUUGACCGUGCUAAGGUAGAGUAAUCAAUUGGUUUUUAAUUGGAGCCAGGAAUGAAUGGAGUUACGGGGUUUAACUGUCUCUUAUUUAAUUUAUCGAAUUUACUGUGCAGGUGAAAAAGCCUGCAUUAAGAAAAAGGACGAGAAGACCCUUAGAGUUUUACUAAAAUUGGAGUAAUCUCCAUAACAGUUUAGUUGGGGCAACAUAGGAGCAAAUUAAUUAAUCUCCUGAAAAUAAUUUAUCGAUUAUUUUAGUAUUGAAUAAACUACCUUAGGGAUAACAGCAUAAUUUUAAUAAUAAGUUUGUGACCUCGAUGUUGGACUGGGAAACUUAAAGGUUAGCCGCCUUUAAGGUAAGUUCUGGGCGAAC
Molecule: ribosomal RNA, 384 nt
Filed under: Polycera tricolor
Lineage: Eukaryota; Metazoa; Mollusca; Gastropoda; Nudibranchia; Polyceridae
Description: partial 16S ribosomal RNA
Rfam family: Archaeal large subunit ribosomal RNA
Source: RNAcentral